RNAcentral lists this long non-coding RNA (979 nucleotides) under Marmota monax (woodchuck). Lineage: Eukaryota; Metazoa; Chordata; Mammalia; Rodentia; Sciuridae. The record is from RNAcentral.
UUUCACUCAUUCACAGGUAUUUCUGUGGUGCUGAUGGCUGGAAUAGUAUGCUUUUCCCUUUGUGGAGUUUCCAUCGAGGUGUCAGGCAUCAAGCAGUUAACCACAGCACGACAAGCACCAUGAAGGAAAAUACAUCACAGAACAGUACUGAGGACAUCACAGAAAAAAAUUAUUUUAUUUUAGGAGAACAAGGAAAACCUCUCUGAAAAUAUUUCUGCUAAGAUGAAAAGGUAGAUAGGAGUUAAUCAGACAACAAGUUAGGCAGAGAACAUUCCAGGCCAAAGAAACAUGACAGAAGGUAUUUGGCACUGUCCAGGCACUGAAGAAAGAAAUGAGAACCACGUGGAAUGAAGGGGAGAGCAGGGGGCUCAGCACACAACGGAUAAGUGGGCUAUGGGUGGGUUAUGUAUGUCCCUGUAAGUCCUUUUGAGGAUCCUGUGUUUCCAUUUGAAUGCUAAAGAGGCAGAGAAGUGGCAUAUGAUGUGCCCUAACAUUUUAUAAGGACACCUAAAUGUCUGUCCUGAGGCAAGUGGCAUAUAGGAAAAGAAAGAGUGAAGACAGAACCCAAGCAGGGGGCUGUGACAAUACUUCAGGCAGCAGAAAAUGAUGGCUUGGACUAGGGAGACGGCUGUGGACACAGGAAGAAGGGGUAGACUGCACAUUUGUUUUCACUUUAGGAUCAAUGGGACUCGACUUCAACAUUGAGGAUGAAGAAAGAAAUUUCCGCUGGUGUCGACCUACCGACCUACCGUGGAUAUAGUGGAGAUUUGUUUUGGUUUUUUGUUUUGCUUCCAAGCACCUGAUUUCCUUCCUAUUUGGACACUCACAUUUUGCAUUCUUUAGUGAGAAGCAAGUCCCCACCUACCACUGUGCAGGAAGCCUAAGGGUGCCAGACAUCUCUUUCCCCACAUGCUAUCAUCCACAGCAAGGUCGCACAACCUACGCGCAGCCAACCUUCUUGACAAGGGACUCAAGUGUG